CAUUCGGUGCCGCGGGUGUGUCCGACGAAGCCGGUCUCGCGAAGUCCUACGCCGGCAUCCGCACGCUGCGUCUGGCGGACGGACCCGAUGAGGUUCACAACCGGGCCAUUGCGCGGCUUGAGCUUCGGAAGUAUUCCAAUCACUAACUGAAAUAGAAGAGAUUGGGAGACGUCGUGGCUGAGCAGGUAAGACAAGACGAAGAUUACUCAGGCACUAUGGAAGUCGAGGAACGUCAUCGGAUCGAUGACGUUCGCCUCGAUGCCUGGAUGCGUGAGAANGAUGCGUGAGAAUGUCGAGGGCUAUCAAGGUCCUUUGACCGUUCUUCAAUUCAAGGGCGGUCAGU
This 343-nucleotide unclassified non-coding RNA is filed under the name Hevea brasiliensis (rubber tree). The record is from RNAcentral. Lineage: Eukaryota; Viridiplantae; Streptophyta; Magnoliopsida; Malpighiales; Euphorbiaceae.